Salmo salar (Atlantic salmon) is the source of this 72-nucleotide non-coding RNA. Lineage: Eukaryota; Metazoa; Chordata; Actinopteri; Salmoniformes; Salmonidae. The record is from Rfam.
UCCCAUGUGGCUCAGUUGGUAGAGCAUGGUGUUUGCAACGCCAGGGUUGUGGGUUCGAUUCCCACGAGGGAC